RNAcentral lists this ribosomal RNA (253 nucleotides) under uncultured bacterium. RNAcentral's name for it is "partial 16S ribosomal RNA". It matches the Rfam family "Bacterial small subunit ribosomal RNA", at positions 524 to 776 of the family's 1533-position model. The record is from RNAcentral.
UACAGAGGGGGCAAGCGUUGUUCGGAAUUACUGGGCGUAAAGGGCUCGUAGGCGGCCAACUAAGUCGGACGUGAAAUCCCUCGGCUUAACCGGGGAACUGCGUCCGAUACUGGAUGGCUGGAGGUUGGGAGAGGGAUGCGGAAUUCCAGGUGUAGCGGUGAAAUGCGUAGAUAUCUGGAGGAACACCGGUGGCGAAGGCGGCAUCCUGGACCAAUUCUGACGCUGAGGAGCGAAAGCCAGGGGAGCAAACGGG